This 470-nucleotide ribosomal RNA is filed under the name uncultured bacterium. Its description in RNAcentral is "bacterial SSU rRNA". It matches the Rfam family "Bacterial small subunit ribosomal RNA", at positions 917 to 1382 of the family's 1533-position model. The record is from RNAcentral.
GGGCUCACACAAGCGGUGGAGGAUGUGGCUUAAUUCGAGGCUACGCGAAGAACCUUAUCCUGGUCUUGACAUGUUUUAGAACACUCCCGAAAAGGAGUGGUGCCCGCAAGGGAGCUAUUGCACAGGUGCUGCAUGGCUGUCGUCAGCUCGUGUCGUGAGAUGUCGGGUUAAGUCCCUUAACGAGCGAAACCCUUGUCCUUAGUUGCCAGCGAGUAAAGUCGGGGACUCUAAGGAGACUGCCGGUGUUAAACCGGAGGAAGGUGGGGAUGACGUCAAGUCCUCAUGGCCCUUAUGACCAGGGCUGCACACGUCCUACAAUGGCGCGUACAAAGCGAUGCAAACUCGCAAGAGCCAGCAAAUCGCAUAAAGCGCGCCUCAGUUCGGAUUGCAGGCUGCAACUCGCCUGCAUGAAGCUGGAAUCGCUAGUAAUCGCGGGUCAGCACACCGCGGUGAAUGUGUUCCUGAGCCUU